CCCUUAGAUGUUCUGGGCUGCACGCGUGCUACACUGAGUGGAUCAGCGGGUCAGGUUACGCGAGAGCGUUUCCUAAUCUUCAAAUCCGCUCGUGAUGGGGAUUGACGGUUGCAAUUUUCCGUCAUGAACGAGGAAUACCUUGUAAGCGCGGGUCAUCAUCCCGCGCUGAAUACGUCCCUGCCCUUUGUACACACCGCCCGUCGCUCCUACCGAUUGAGUGGUCCGGUGAGGCUUUGGGAUCUAAGCGAAAAGAGCGUUUCGCUCCUUUUGCUGGGAGAACUCAGUCGAACCUUAUCAUUUAGAGGAAGGAGAAGUCGUAACA
This 322-nucleotide ribosomal RNA is filed under the name uncultured eukaryote. RNAcentral describes it as "partial 18S ribosomal RNA". It matches the Rfam family "Eukaryotic small subunit ribosomal RNA", at positions 1470 to 1796 of the family's 1831-position model. The record is from RNAcentral.